GAAAAACUCAUAAAAGCUGAAAGAAAAUUCAUUGAAGAUAGAGUUAAAACAAAUAAUAGAACUGAAAAGGAAAGUCUGUGGUGAUUCAGAUAAAGGAUUUGUUAUUAAUCAAAAGGGAAUUGACCCCUUUUCCUUAGAUGCUCUUUCAAAGAAGGCAUAGUCGCUCUUCACAGAGCUAAAAGGAGGAAUAUGGAGAGGUAUGAGUAGCAGAUUUAUCUGAGUAAUUUGACUUUUACUUAUUUUGCAAAUGAAUUAGGAUUGUUUUUCCUUAUACUUUAUUUUUGGGUUUUCAACUGUACAAUUAAUUGGCAUUAACUAUAUUCGCAUUAUUUUGCACCCGUCAGCACUGUCCAUCUCUAGGAUUUUUUUUAUCAUCACAAACUGAAACUGUAUACCCAUUAAAUAGUUACUCCCCAUUUCUCAUUCCCUUUAUGCCCUUGUAAACAUUAUUUUACUUUUUGUCUCUGAAUUCAGUAUACUUUCUCCCAAAGAGCUCACCACAAUAAAAGUUUUUUUUUUAAUAUUAUUUUAUUAUUUUUUUGAGACAGUCUUGCUCUGUUGUACAGUGGCAUGAUCGUGGUUCAUUGCAACUUCUACUUCCUGGGUUCUUAGGAUUCUCGUGCCUCAGCCUCCCGAGUAGCUAGGAUUACGGGUGUCUGCCACCAUGCCCGUUGAAUUGUUUUGUUUUCGUUUUGCUUUUUUGGUAGAAAUGGGGUUUUGCCAUGUUGGCUAGGCUGGUCUCAAACUCCUGGCCUCAAGUGAUCCACCCACCUCAGCCUCCCAAAGUGUUGGGAUUACAGGCGUGAGCCACCAUGCCUGGCCAAUAAAGAGCUCUUGUCCAUCUUUAGAUUUCAUUUGCUGACUUGGGGAGAGUGGUUUAAAUAGAGGGUUAAAAAGACUGGUUUUCAGCUGGUUGAUGGCAAAUGAAAAGGCUUAGGUUAAAGUACAUUUUAAACUGUAAUUUUGUGUGUAAUUCUGAAAAAUUCCUUCUUAGAAAUUACUGGUCUUCUCUUUGAACUUCACUAGUAACAUUGCUUAUUCAUUUCCCUUAAAAUGC
This 1057-nucleotide long non-coding RNA is filed under the name Pan troglodytes (chimpanzee). Its description in RNAcentral is "long non-coding RNA NONPTRT015666". Lineage: Eukaryota; Metazoa; Chordata; Mammalia; Primates; Hominidae. The record is from RNAcentral.